UGCAGUCGAGGGGUAGGGUUACUUCGGUAUCUGAGACCGGCGCACGGGUGCGUAACGCGUAUGCAAUCUACCUUUUACUAUGGGAUAGCCCAGAGAAAUUUGGAUUAAUACCAUAUAGUAUAUUUGAAUGGCAUCGUUUGAAUAUUAAAGAUUUAUCGGUAAAAGAUGAGCAAGCGUCCCAUUAGUUAGUUGGUGUGGUAACGGCAUACCAAGACGAUGAUGGGUAGGGGUCCUGAGAGGGAGAUCCCCCACACUGGUACUGAGACACGGACCAGACUCCUACGGGAGGCAGCAGUGAGGAAUAUUGGUCAAUGGAGGCAACUCUGAACCAGCCAUGCCGCGUGCAGGAUGACGGUCCUAUGGAUUGUAAACUGCUUUUGUACGGGAAGAAAACAAACUACGAGUAGUUAAUUGACGGUACCGUAAGAAUAAGGAUCGGCUAACUCCGUGCCAGCAGCCGCGGUAAUACGGAGGAUCCAAGCGUUAUCCGGAAUCAUUGGGUUUAAGGGUCCGUAGGCGGCCUUAUAAGUCAGUGGUAAAGUUUUUGGCUUAACCAAAAAUUGCCAUUGAUACUGUAGGGCUUGAAUAUCUGUGAAGUAACUAGAAUAUGUAGUGUAGCGGUGAAAUGCUUAGAUAUUACAUGGAAUACCGAUUGCGAAGGCAGGUUACUAACAGAUGAUUGACGCUGAUGGACGAAAGCGUGGGUAGCGAACAGGAUUAGAUACCCUGGUAGUCCACGCCGUAAACGAUGGAUACUAGCUGUUUGGUUUUCGGACUGAGUGGCUAAGCGAAAGUGAUAAGUAUCCCACCUGGGGAGUACGGUCCCAAGACUGAAACUCAAAGGAAUUGACGGGGGCCCGCACAAGCGGUGGAGCAUGUGGUUUAAUUCGAUGAUACGCGAGGAACCUUACCAGGGCUUAAAUGUAGAUUGACAGAUUUGGAAACAGAUUUUUCUUCGGACAAUUUACAAGGUGCUGCAUGGUUGUCGUCAGCUCGUGCCGUGAGGUGUCAGGUUAAGUCCUAUAACGAGCGCACCCCUGUUGUUAGUUGCCAGCACGUAAUGGUGGGAACUCUACAAGACUGCCGUGUAAACUGUGAGGAAGUGGGGAUGACGUCAAUCAUCCCGG
RNAcentral lists this ribosomal RNA (1127 nucleotides) under uncultured Myroides sp. Its description in RNAcentral is "bacterial SSU rRNA". It matches the Rfam family "Bacterial small subunit ribosomal RNA", at positions 56 to 1198 of the family's 1533-position model. Lineage: Bacteria; Pseudomonadati; Bacteroidota; Flavobacteriia; Flavobacteriales; Flavobacteriaceae. The record is from RNAcentral.